AUGCAUACGGCCUACCUGAAACUCCUCCAUAGUCUUUCUGCCGCUGCCUCCCCCACGCUCGCUCUCACCACUAACACUUCGCCGCUGCUCUACUCCUACUCGGCGCGGCGGCUCCGGAGGGGAAUUCCGUCGAGCAGGAUGAACGCAUUGGCGGCCACCAGCCGGAACUUCAAGCAGGCGGCCAAGCUGCUGGGCCUGGACUCCAAGCUCGAGAAGAGCUUGCUCAUCCCCUUCAGGGAGAUCAAGGUUGAGUGCACAAUUCCUAAAGAUGAUGGGACAUUAGCAUCCUAUGUUGGGUUUAGGGUGCAGCAUGACAAUGCCAGGGGCCCUAUGAAGGGUGGAAUCAGAUACCACCAUGAGGUUGAUCCUGACGAGGUCAAUGCCUUGGCGCAACUGAUGACAUGGAAAACAGCCGUGGCCAAUAUUCCAUAUGGAGGCGCUAAAGGUGGCAUAGGAUGCAGUCCUGGAGACCUGAGCAUAUCAGAGCUCGAGCGGCUUACCCGAGUUUUCACCCAGAAAAUUCAUGACUUAAUUGGCAUUCACACCGAUGUUCCGGCUCCUGACAUGGGCACCAACGCACAGACAAUGGCAUGGAUUCUGGAUGAGUACUCAAAGUUCCAUGGUUACUCACCUGCUGUGGUGACAGGAAAGCCUGUGGACCUUGGAGGAUCACUGGGAAGAGAUGCAGCUACUGGAAGGGGAGUUCUGUUUGCCACUGAAGCCCUACUUGCAGAGCAUGGCAAAGGCAUUGCAGGCCAGCGUUUUGUGAUCCAGGGAUUUGGUAAUGUUGGCUCCUGGGCUGCUCAACUGAUCACUGAAGCUGGUGGCAAGGUGAUCGCCAUCAGCGAUGUCACAGGGGCUGUCAAGAACUCUAAUGGCAUUGACAUAGCCAAGCUGAUGAAGCACUCGGCGGAGAACCGUGGGAUCAAGGGCUUCGACGGAGGAGACGCCGUCGACCCGACCUCGCUGCUCACCGAAGAGUGCGACGUCCUUAUCCCAGCUGCGCUGGGAGGAGUCAUAAACAAGGACAAUGCGGAUGGCAUCAAAGCAAAGUACAUCAUCGAGGCCGCGAACCACCCGACAGACCCCGAGGCCGACGAGAUUCUGGCGAACAAGGGGGUGCUGAUCCUGCCGGACAUCCUGGCCAACUCGGGCGGCGUGACGGUGAGCUACUUCGAGUGGGUGCAGAACAUCCAGGGGUUCAUGUGGGACGAGGAGAAGGUGAACCGGGAGCUCAAGACGUACAUGACCCGCGCCUUCCGGGACACCAAGGAGAUGUGCCGCUCCCACCACUGCGACCUCCGCAUGGGCGCCUUCACCCUCGGCGUCAACCGCGUCGCCCGCGCCACCGUCCUCCGCGGCUGGGAGGCCUGA
This 1374-nucleotide ribosomal RNA is filed under the name Triticum aestivum (bread wheat). Its description in RNAcentral is "partial small subunit ribosomal RNA". Lineage: Eukaryota; Viridiplantae; Streptophyta; Magnoliopsida; Poales; Poaceae. The record is from RNAcentral.